RNAcentral lists this ribosomal RNA (465 nucleotides) under Vreelandella stevensii. Its description in RNAcentral is "partial 16S ribosomal RNA". It matches the Rfam family "Bacterial small subunit ribosomal RNA", at positions 338 to 795 of the family's 1533-position model. The record is from RNAcentral. Lineage: Bacteria; Pseudomonadati; Pseudomonadota; Gammaproteobacteria; Oceanospirillales; Halomonadaceae.
CCUACGGGGGGCUGCAGUGGGGAAUAUUGGACAAUGGGCGAAAGCCUGAUCCAGCCAUGCCGCGUGUGUGAAGAAGGCCUUCGGGUUGUAAAGCACUUUCAGUGGGGAAGAAAGCCUUGGGGCUAAUACCCUCGAGGAAGGACAUCACCCACAGAAGAAGCACCGGCUAACUCCGUGCCAGCAGCCGCGGUAAUACGGAGGGUGCGAGCGUUAAUCGGAAUUACUGGGCGUAAAGCGCGCGUAGGCGGUCUGAUAAGCCGGUUGUGAAAGCCCCGGGCUCAACCUGGGAACGGCAUCCGGAACUGUCAGGCUAGAGUGCAGGAGAGGAAGGUAGAAUUCCCGGUGUAGCGGUGAAAUGCGUAGAGAUCGGGAGGAAUACCAGUGGCGAAGGCAGCCUUCUGGACUGACACUGACGCUGAGGUGCGAAAGCGUGGGUAGCAAACAGGAUUAGAUACCCGAGUAGUC